Astyanax mexicanus (Mexican tetra) is the source of this 1272-nucleotide long non-coding RNA. RefSeq lists it as uncharacterized. The record is from RefSeq and is a predicted model, not a curated record. The transcript is spliced from 2 exons. Lineage: Eukaryota; Metazoa; Chordata; Actinopteri; Characiformes; Acestrorhamphidae.
GUGGUGCUUGGUGCAGGAAAACAUUAUCACCACCAAACGCCUGCUUAAAACCUGUGAGCCUUCGCCUUAAUUGGCAAGACGGCCGUAUCAGCGUCAUGCGUCGUUAUGUCCUUUUUUUCAGCUAAUUUUGUUAGUCAAAAUAAAAGGACUAUUGUACCAAAAACAAGACUCCUAUCCUGCACGGACGGUCAGUUGGUUAGAGUAAGCAGCACUGCAGACAGUAAACUAGCAUCAUCCGUCACUAACCUAGGAAGCUAUGCUUCUUUCAAAAGGCACCAAAACAACCAUGGAGCUAGGACCUGGGAAGAUUCGCACUUGAGUCCGGCCCGAGCUCCACGUGUCAGCAUGGGUCCUGUUAGUGAAUUAGGCCGAAAAUACGAUCCGUCUUACCCUGGAUUUGAAAGAAAUCUCAACCCAGCAGCCUACAGACAGCCCAGUUUCCAGAAGCCUUUUGGCAGACAUGGAUUCUAUGAACGACGCAGUCGCGGGCUAUUCUCUUCCAGAACCGUCCCAUAACCUUGGACAAAAAAACUUCAAAACUUACAUUGCCAGCACUCUUACAGUUAGCCCGUCGCACAUAUAGCAUUCACAGUUCUACCUAUCCGCAUCUCUAGUACACCCUUCUCGGACAAAACUUUACGGGAAUGUCCAAAACAACGGAGGGGACGCUAAAAGUGCCGUGGCAGCAUAUGCACAUUAAGUCAAAGCAGCAGCCUUCAUUGAGGACAAUAACUCGAGGAGAUGAUACACACACUAAAGACGUGAGCUUGGAGAACGCUACAAACACAUGAAUGUCUGCGAAAGCUGGAGGAGAAAGCGAUGCCUACACCAAUAACCAAAUCCUGGAAUUUGUCUUAUUGUACCUGACUCGAGAGCGCCACCUGGAGAUCAAAAUCUGAUUUCAAAACCGCAGGACGAAACUAAAUAAAAUUACAAACGUGGGCGGAAAGACACGAGUGCUCAAAAGAUGUUUUAAUCGUGCAAAACAUGUACGCUUGUUGCCGAUAAUACUUUCCUCUGACUGAAUAUUGAGAACAGUUGUUUAAUUGCGUUGAAUACAGCGGAUAAGACAAUUCAAGAUAUUUCUCAUGAAGAGCAGUGUCUUGGCAUAGCUAAAAUAAUAAAUUGCAUGGUGUUUUUACUGUUGGCAUAUCAAUGUUUUUCAUGGACUUGAUUAUUAAUUCUAUAUACGUGUUCAUAUAAGUAAGGUCCAAUAAGUUGUAAAACAGGUUGUAAAGUAUUUAACCAGAAGCAAUUAAACAUCAAACACAA